GAGGAAAAGAAACCAACAGGGAUUGCCCUAGUAACGGCGAGUGAAGCGGCAACAGCUCAAAUUUGAAAUCUGGCCCUAGCGGUCCGAGUUGUAAUUUGUAGAGGAUGCUUUGGGCGAGGCGCCUUCCGAGUUCCCUGGAACGGGACGCCAGAGAGGGUGAGAGCCCCGUACGGUCGGACGCCGAGCCUCUGUAUAGCUCCUUCGACGAGUCGAGUAGUUUGGGAAUGCUGCUCUAAAUGGGAGGUAAAUUUCUUCUAAAGCUAAAUACCGGCCAGAGACCGAUAGCGCACAAGUAGAGUGAUCGAAAGAUGAAAAGCACUUUGAAAAGAGGGUUAAAUAGCACGUGAAAUUGUUGAAAGGGAAGCGUUUGCGACCAGACUUUUCCCAGGCGGAUCAUCCGGCUCUUCGCCGGUGCACUCCGUCUGGUGGAGGCCAGCAUCGGUUUCCCUAGGGGGAUAAAGGCCGGGGGAACGUAGCUCCUUCGGGAGUGUUAUAGCCUCCGGCGCAAUACCCCUCGGGGGACCGAGGAACGCGCUUCGGCAAGGAUGCUGGCGUAAUGGUCGUCAACGACCCGUCUUGAAACACGGACCAAGGAGUCGAACAUUUGUGCGAGUGUUUGGGUGUCAAACCCUCACGCGUAAUGAAAGUGAACGGAGGUGAGAGCCCUCGCGGGUGCAUCAUCGACCGAUCCUGAUGUCUUCGGAUGGAUUUGAGUAAGAGCAUAACUGUUCGGACCCGAAAGAUGGUGAACUAUGCGUGGAUAGGGUGAAGCCAGAGGAAACUCUGGUGGAGGCUCGCAGCGGUUCUGACGUGCAAAUCGAUCGUCAAAUCUGCGCAUGGGGGCGAAAGACUUAUCGAACCAUCUAGUAACUGGU
This 875-nucleotide ribosomal RNA is filed under the name Daldinia sp. RNAcentral describes it as "partial large subunit ribosomal RNA". It matches the Rfam family "Eukaryotic large subunit ribosomal RNA", at positions 53 to 955 of the family's 3401-position model. The record is from RNAcentral. Lineage: Eukaryota; Fungi; Ascomycota; Sordariomycetes; Xylariales; Hypoxylaceae.